RNAcentral lists this long non-coding RNA (247 nucleotides) under Carica papaya (papaya). Its description in RNAcentral is "long non-coding RNA (CPAP_LNC004504)". Lineage: Eukaryota; Viridiplantae; Streptophyta; Magnoliopsida; Brassicales; Caricaceae. The record is from RNAcentral.
AGGCAACGAGAAAGGUGUUGUUGCGAGGGAGACAUAAAGAUGGACUUUAUCAAGUUGAGUUGAAGGAUCAGCCAGUAAAUGAAACUCAAAACCCUGUUCAAGUUUUUAUUUCUAAAUUUUUUUAAAAAUCUUGUUUCGAGUCUAUUGAGUCCUGACACAAAUGUUUGGGUCAUCCAUCAAAUAAAGUGUUAUCAAAUGCACUUGAGUCUUGUAAUAAAACUUCUAUAAUGAAUGGAAAAAUGAGUUU